Aethalodelphis obliquidens (Pacific white-sided dolphin) is the source of this 1815-nucleotide long non-coding RNA. RefSeq lists it as uncharacterized. Lineage: Eukaryota; Metazoa; Chordata; Mammalia; Artiodactyla; Delphinidae. The record is from RefSeq and is a predicted model, not a curated record. The transcript is spliced from 2 exons.
CUCCGUGGCAUGCGGGAUCCUCCCAGACCGGGGCACGAACCUUCGUCCCUUGCAUCGGCAGGCCGACUCUCAACCACUGCACCACCAGGGAAGCCCCACAGCUGUUAUCUUUACCUGAUGUGAUUAAGGGAAUUUUUUUCCUUUGUGUUUUCUAAGUUUUCUUCAUUGAGCACAAAGUGCUUUUGUAAUUACACAAGGUCCCAAAGAAUCUUAUAGUAAAAAUAAUACAUAGUCAUAGAUGAUUAGGAAAAUGCAGAAAGUCAUUAAAUGCCAAAUACCUGUAAUCCUAUCACCAUUGACCUUUUGAAAAUGCACGUGUUUUGAAAAAGUUCUUUAUCUUGGAACAAAGACAAAGAGACUACUUUGGCUGCCUCCUAACCCUCUAUCAGACUGUCUGUUGGGUGUGGAGACAGCUCUCACCUUCACAAUGUUACCUGGAGCCAGGAAACUGGGAAUAAGUGGGCAAGGAGAAUGUUGAGCCUCUUGAGGAUUUGAAAUAAGAGCAUGAAGUUUGCUUUCAAGUAUUUCCAUUUGAAAACUUUAGAAGCUUUUAGAGCAAGCUUAUGGGAACAAGACACAGGAGGCAUGAGAAACAGCCACUCUCUGUGUCGAGGAGUAUGGGAAGACUGUGAGGGACACAGAUUCUUGCUCCCAUGUAGAUCGUGAGACCUGAAGUAACUUCCAGGGAAGUGGCUUUCAGAAUCUUUCCUUCUUGUGAUUAGCUUUAACUGCAGGUAAUCAUUAUCUGUGAGGUAAUGUUUGGGAAUUAUUGACUUGGAAGUCCUGUACUCUUAAAUAAUUGUCUGCUAUUUUUUUCUUUUUUAAAAUAUUUAUUUAUUUAUUUGGCUGCACCGGGUCUUGGUUGUGGCAUGCGGGAUCUUCGUUGCCACUUGCGGGAUCUGCAGGAUCUUCAGGAUCUUUGUUGAGGCACGUGGGAUCUUUUAGUCGCAGCAUGUGGGAUCUAGUCCCCUGACCAGGGAUUGAACCCAUGCCCCCUGCUUUGGGAACGCAGAGUCUUAACCAGUGGACCACCAGGGAAGUCCCUAAUUGUCUGCUCUUAAUGGGCUCCUGGUAUUAUGUGCCAGGCACGGUGCCUAGUGCUUCAAGUAUGUUAUCUCAUUUAAUACAGGGAAUAUUCCUAUAAAGUGGGAAUAUAAUUAUCCUCCAAAAGGACAGAAAUGCAGAGUAAGUAACUUGUCUAAGGUUAUGUAACUAAUGAAUUGUUGAUCCAGGCUUGAAACCCACUAAGUAAGAGAGCAGAGCCUGUGCAACUCUCCUACCACUCCAGAGAGCACCUUGAAGUUUCAUUGCGAACAUGUCAUCUUUUGGGUGAAUGCUUGUCGAUAGUAGGCACCUUUAAAAAUGCACAGGAGUUCCAAUAAGUGUGUGUGUGUGACAAAGUAAUGUAUUUAAAUCGGAGAUACCUAUCAGUAAUUAAAUCGGUUUAAGUAAUUUUUCAGCUCAGUCUCUUUUCCCCAAGCACAUUGGACUUUGGCACCUCCAACAGUCAAGGGGCUUGAGGUAGGUGAUAAUAGUGGAAUUUUUAAAAACUUUCUUAUGGAAGUAUAAAACACAUACAAAAAAGUAUACCCAUCAGAAGUGUACAGUUCUUAAGAAUUUUCACAAACAGAUCCAAAUAACCAGUAACCAGGUCAAGAAACAGAAUAUUACCAGCACUCCAGAAGCAAGUCAUGGGCCCUGCCCCAUGUCUGUCCCCUCUCUCCUCUCCAGAGGUAACCUCUAUCCUGACUUCAAACACCAUGGAUUGGUGUAGUUUGUUUUGAAGUUCAUAUAAAUAGAAUCAUGUAGGUUGGA